AUUGAACGCUGGCGGCAGGCCUAACACAUGCAAGUCGAACGGUAACAGGAAGCAGCUUGCUGCUUCGCUGACGAGUGGCGGACGGGUGAGUAAUGUCUGGGAAGCUGCCUGGUGGAGGGGGAUAACUACUGGAAACGGUAGCUAAUACCGCAUAAUGUCGCAAGACCAAAGAGGGGGACCUUCGGGCCUCUUGCCAUCGGAUGUGCCCAGAUGGGAUUAGCUUGUUGGUGGGGUAACGGCUCACCAAGGCGACGAUCCCUAGCUGGUCUGAGAGGAUGACCAGCCACACUGGAACUGAGACACGGUCCAGACUCCUACGGGAGGCAGCAGUGGGGAAUAUUGCACAAUGGGCGCAAGCCUGAUGCAGCCAUGCCGCGUGUAUGAAGAAGGCCUUCGGGUUGUAGAGUACUUUCAGCGGGGAGGAAGGGAGUAAAGUUAAUACCUUUGCUCAUUGACGUUACCCGCAGAAGAAGCACCGGCUAACUCCGUG
This 490-nucleotide ribosomal RNA is filed under the name uncultured bacterium. RNAcentral describes it as "partial 16S ribosomal RNA". It matches the Rfam family "Bacterial small subunit ribosomal RNA", at positions 30 to 507 of the family's 1533-position model. The record is from RNAcentral.